UACGCAGCGACGCCGCGUGAGGGAUGAAGGCCUUCGGGUUGUAAACCUCUUUCAGCAGGGACGAAAUCAGACGGUACCUGCAGAAGAAGCACCGGCCAACUACGUGCCAGCAGCCGCGGUAAUACGUAGGGUGCAAGCGUUGUCCGGAAUUAUUGGGCGUAAAGAGCUCGUAGGCGGUUUGUCGCGUCGGCUGUGAAAACUCGGGGCUCAACCCCGAGCCUGCAGUCGAUACAGGCAGACUAGAGUGCGGUAGGGGAGACUGGAAUUCCUGGUGUAGCGGUGAAAUGCGUAGAUAUCGGGAGGAACACCAGUGGCGAAAGCGGUCUUCUGGACUGUUUCUGACACUCAGACGCGAAAGCUAGGGUAGCAAACGGGAUUAGAGACCCCGGUAGUCCUAGCUGUAAACGAUGUGAACUUGGCGUCGGCGGGUUCAAAGCCGUCGGUGCCGAAGCCAACGCGAUAAGUUCACCGCCUGGGGACUACGGCCGCAAGGUUAAAACUCAAAGGAAUUGACGGGUCCCCGCACAAGCAGCGGAGCGUGUGGUUUAAUUCGAUGUUACACGAAGGAACCUUACCCAGGUUUGACAUGUAGGUGGUAGGGAAGCGAAAGCAGACCGACCCUUCGGGGAGCCUACACAGGUGUUGCAUGGCUGUCG
This 656-nucleotide ribosomal RNA is filed under the name uncultured soil bacterium. Its description in RNAcentral is "bacterial SSU rRNA". It matches the Rfam family "Bacterial small subunit ribosomal RNA", at positions 385 to 1054 of the family's 1533-position model. The record is from RNAcentral.